Lactuca sativa (garden lettuce) is the source of this 2336-nucleotide non-coding RNA. NCBI's taxonomy places the organism in Eukaryota, Viridiplantae, Streptophyta, Magnoliopsida, Asterales, Asteraceae. The record is from RefSeq and is a predicted model, not a curated record.
UGCAUCUACUCCUUCUCCAUCUACUCCUUCGUAUGUCGUACCCGAGAAACCCUAAUAGUGUGGCUGCCAAUCUUUAUCCUUUUCUCCAUUUUGUCGCCUUCAAGCUCUGAAUUAGGGUUUACUUUGGAGAUAAUUUCAAUUUAUUUAAACCAAACAUCCCAGCUCUUCAACCCUAAAUCCACCGCUGCUACUCCGCCUCCUUUCUCCGGGCUCCGCCGCUCUUCGAAGAUCGACUCGGCUUCACUCUCCACAAUAAAGAAGUUCAAUUCUCACAUAUGUCUCUCCUCUUAUUCUACACGACCUUACACCUUCAAAGUGACCAAUCACCAUGGACAGUACUGAGAAGGUAUACACAUGCUUUUUCAUCUUAUUCUGGAUCUCGCCUACGAUUGAGUGUUCCUAGUCUCGCUCCACCUCCGGUCUACCCAACUCCAUCGAUCUACUUCCGGUUCCCCUUUUUUAAACCUAGAAGGUGAUUUAGGGUUCUAUAUACCAUUUCAAAGUCAUCUUAUGAAAUCAACAUUCCCUCAAUUUCGAUAUGAUGUAGGUAAUACGUGACCAACUACAAGUCUCUCUUUCUUUCUCUCUCCAUCACUCUCUCUCUCUCUCUCUCUCUCUCUCUCUCUCUCUUCUAUAUAUACAUAUACAUACUGCGUAUUUUUUUUGAUAACAUCGAUCUAAUACACAGACUAAACACUAGUAAUAGAGGUGAAAGAUAUUCUAGUUAUGGAGCUUCAGAUCUUAGAAGGUUUACAGUGGAAGGUACGACCAGUGACAUCCAGAAUGAAGUUUCUCGGGCAAUUGAGUUGAGGGAAAUUGUAACCUCUUUGGGUCCUGCAUACUUCAAACGUAGGCAAGCAUUGAGCAUUAGGCCAGACAUUGCCAUGGCACUUCUAGAAGAGGCUAUGGUGCUAAUGCCCUGACUAAUGUGAUUAUUGGAAUCAGAAGAAUGAUGCACAUCGAUACAUUUUACACUGUCUAACCACACUUCAAUGUGUUUCCCAGUGCACUAUAUACAUAUCUAUCUCAGAGACAGGUCACUUAGCUUACCCGGAUCACCUUUAGGACCAGAUGCUUAUCAUGAAUAUCAAAUCUUACUUGUCCAAGAUUACAAGGAACUCAAGAAGAAAAACAAUCAAAACUCUAUACACAAACCUAAGGAGAAUCCCAUCUUUGAAGAUGAAGGGUGGUUGCAGCUUACCCCCAUGAAGCUGAUACCCCUAAAUCCCAACCUUUUUCCAGUUCUAAAGAUACUUAUGAUGGAGGACCUAAAUUAAUGGCUUAUGUUCAUCACUUCCCGUUGAUUCUAUCCCCCUUUUUCACCAAAGUUCUUUGUGAUACCAUCUGAAGGGUCAAUUUUUGAGGCAUAUUUAUCAGGUGAUCAAGAGAAUUCAAUUAUUUCAGAGCUCACAACUUCUCCUAUAGUAGCAGCCUCACUUGGGCAGGUGUAUAAGGGUAGAUUAAAGGAAAAUGGGGGAUUUGGUUGCUGUGAAGGUACAAAGGCCUUAUGUACUUGAAACAGUAACUGUUGAUUUAUUCAUCAUAAGGAACUUAGGAUUGGCUCUUCGAUGUUUUCCUUAGAUUUCGACCCCCCUGUUUAUGGGAAAAAGAUUGCAGUUAGUUUAAUAGUAGCGAUUGUUAGUGGAGGAGUGUUUUUUUUGUAUUUUUAAUCAUACUUAUCUUGUGGAGAAAAGGCUUCUUUACGGGUAAAAAUGCGAAAGAUAGAGAGCUCAAAGGUCUGGAUCUGCAAACUGGAAUAUUCACUCUAAGACAGAUAAAAGCUGCAACUAAAAACUUUGAUCUGUCAAACAAGCUUGGCAAAGGUGGUUUUGGUGCUGUUUACAAGGGUUCAUUAUCGGAUGGGUCAAUCAUUGCAGUGAAACAACUAUCAUCAAAGUCCAAACAAGAUGUGGUACUUGUUAACUUAGGCAUGCCAACCAGUUCAAGAACAUUUGCAAUUUUUGCUCCACCCCAUAUUGCUGACACAAUCACAACAAAACACAACUUAGUGAUUGUUUCUUGUAUGGAGAAGAGAUGGUCAGAUGGAGGAGAUUGUAUGUCUCAGGGUACCCUUCAAAACUUAAUACAAACUCAUGACAGCAGAAAUUGCAGCUUCUGACAAGAGCAAACUCAGUUUGUGCUUCAUGUUUAUCUUUAGGGGGGAACGACAAUGCAAGGGCGUUCUCAUCAAAAAGGUGGUUGGAAUUGGACCUAAAGUUGGUUGCUGAUAUAGGAAUAGUGGGUGCUCCAAAUGCAGGAAAAAACAUGUUUUUAAGUGUUAUUAGUGUUAGACAUGUAGUGUUGUUUGACAUGUAAUGCUUAGGUAACUUGUUUGA